CAGCAGACACAUUCCAGCCAAUCAGCAGCAGACCCUCCCUCCCACCUCCUGGACAGCAUCCAUUUUACAUUCAUUGUGAAGCUGCAUUCUUAGUGAGCUGUCCAGGAAGUGGGAGGGUCUGGGAGGGAGGGUCUGCUGCUGAUUGGCUGGAAUGUGUCUGCUG
RNAcentral lists this microRNA precursor (163 nucleotides) under Pelobates cultripes (western spadefoot toad). Lineage: Eukaryota; Metazoa; Chordata; Amphibia; Anura; Pelobatidae. The record is from RNAcentral.